AAGUCGUAACAAGGUAACCGUAGGUGAACCUGCGGUUGGAUCAUUACUGAAUUUUAAAAAAAAGUCGAAGUAUGUGCUUUGUCACUAUUUCCCUUUUUUUUAUUUCACCCCCCUUGUGAACUGUUUUUCGUUCUUUGGCAGCCCAACCAACUUGAUUGAGCAAACAAAAAGAAGCGUGUAGAGAUUUUUCUCUUCACGUUGCUUUUAAUUUUCUCUUCAUUUCAUUUGGGCCGUCAACCUUUGAAUUUAAACCCGUGUUAUAUGUAAAAUUAUAUGUCUCCAUUAGAUUCCAACUUUGAGAAUCUUGUUUUUAUAAAACGAAAAACAACUUUUGACAACGGAUCUCUUGGCUCUC
Molecule: unclassified non-coding RNA, 355 nt
Filed under: fungal sp.
Lineage: Eukaryota; Fungi
Description: partial internal transcribed spacer region
Rfam family: Eukaryotic small subunit ribosomal RNA (bases 1-46)
Source: RNAcentral